CCUACGGGAGGCAGCAGUGAGGAAUAGUGGUCAAUGGACGAGAGUCUGAACCAGCCAAGUAGCGUGAAGGAUGACUGCCCUAUGGGUUGUAAACUUCUUUUAUAAAGGAAUAAAACGAGGCACGUGUGCCUUUUUGCAUGUACUUUAUGAAUAAGGAUAGGCUAACUCCGUGCCAGCAGCCGCGGUAAUACGUAGGAUCCGAGCGUUAUCCGGAUUUAUGGGGUUUAAAGGGAGCGUAGAUGGGUUGUUAAGUCAGUUGUGAAAGUUUGCGGCUCAACCGUAAAAUUGCAAUUGAUACUGGCAGUCUUGAGUACAGUUGAGGUAGGCGGAAUUCGUGGUGUAGCGGUGAAAUGCUUAGAUAUCACGAAGAACCCCGAUUGCGAAGGCAGCUUACUAAACUGUGACUGACAUUGAUGCUCGAAAGUGUGGGUAUCAAACAGGAUUAGAUACCCGGGUAGUC
RNAcentral lists this ribosomal RNA (460 nucleotides) under uncultured bacterium. RNAcentral's name for it is "partial 16S ribosomal RNA". It matches the Rfam family "Bacterial small subunit ribosomal RNA", at positions 338 to 795 of the family's 1533-position model. The record is from RNAcentral.